UGGACAAGUCGCCACCUCAUCGCAGAAUUAUUGAUGCUAAAUAUGCUAAUUAUCUUUCCAUUCCAGGGUCAAAUGUAACGAUUACGAGGGCAUCGUGAUGCGGGUCAUUCUCUCAAUGAUGCAGUCGGGCUCCAACACAGCGUGAAAGGUCAAAUGUAACGAUUACGGGGGCAUCGUGAUGCGGGUCAUUCUCUCAAUGAUGCAGUCGGGCUCCACAGCGUGAAGGGUCAAAUCUAACGAUUACGAGGGCAUCGUGAUGCGGUGCAUUCUCACAAUGAUGCAGUCGGGCUCCAACACAGCGUGAAGUCACUCGUGUCUCAGCUUCCACUGUUGCCUUUCCCUCCUGGACCUUGUUUGUCCUCGCCGAUCCUUAACCCCUGUUUUGGAGUUCCGGACUUCUCCUUCCUGCCUACGACCCCGCUCGGACCUCGGACCUCUUGGCUUCUUCCCCUCGGAUUCGGACGCUGUACAUCCACUUAAACAAACCUUACGCUGUGCUUUUAGUGAUUCGUCCUUGGCGAGGGGCGGACCUUGAGGCCCACCUGUUUGCAAUUAGCACACCGGUAUUUAGGCUCAUCACUGUCAGCUUGGCUUCGCCGGUUAUUGUCUCCGGUACUCCUGUCGUGCAUGCACCUGCUUCACCAGACCGGGUAUGUUUUCGCUACUUUGUCCUGAAUUCCCUAACCUCUUGUGUGUUUAUCUCCUAGUCCCCCUGAGGUGAAAGGAUUACUUUUGUUGGACUCUUGCCCUACUCAGUGUGCCCUGGCCCUGUCUCCUGCCGAAAUCUGAGGAACCUAUUUCGGCCAGAUUUCAUGGUGUGCGUUUCUGCCCCAUCACCCUUAGUUAUCCUUUUUUGUCUAAUGAAAUGUUUUCAUUUUUAUAUAAUUCCACCUUGUCCCCCGUCUCUACAUCCUGGGGUCACACCCACUUGACUAAGACUUUAACAACUAUAGCUAAUAUAGACACUUACAAAAAGUCUGCGGGCUAUAGAGCGUUUUCCGUUCGGGCUCCAGUACUCUGGAAUGCCCUCCCGGUAACAGUUCGAGAUGCUACCUCAGUAGAAGCAUUUAAGUCUCAUCUUAAAACUCAUUUGUAUACUCUAGCCUUUAAAUAGACCUCCCUUUUAGACCAGUUGAUCUGCCGCUUCUUUUCUUUCUCCUAUGUCCCCCCCUCCCUUGUGGAGGGGGUCCGGUCCGAUGACCAUGGAUGAAGUACUGACUGUCCAGAGUCGAGACCCAGGAUGGACCGCUCGUCGGGACCCAGGAUGGACCGCUCGCCUGUAUCGGUUGGGGACAUCUCUACGCUGCUGAUCCGCUUCAGAUGGUUUCCUGUGGACGGGACUCUCGCUGCUGUCUUGGAGCCACUAUGGAUUGAACUUUCACAGUAUCAUGUUGGACCCGCUCGACAUCCAUUGCUUUCGGUCCCCUAGAGGGGGGGGGGGUUGCCCACAUCUGAGGUCCUCUCCAAGGUUUCUCAUAGUCAGCAUUGUCACUGGCGUCCCACUGGGUGUGAAUUCUCCCUGCCCACUGGGUGUGAGUUUUCCUUGCCCUUUUGUGGGUUCUUCCGAGGAUGUUGUAGUCAUAAUGAUUUGUGCAGUCCUUUGAGACAUUUGUGAUUUGGGGCUAUAUAAAUAAACAUUGAUUGAUUGAUUGAUUACAUCAUGUGUUGCCUUCACUAUAACACUAAUAUAAGACUUUUAAUUUCCAGACGGAUUUUUUUUUCUUGUAUUUUUGGUCCAAUAUGUCUCUUUGGACAUUUUGGGUUGCCGACUAGAGUCUAGAGU
This is a long non-coding RNA of Nerophis ophidion (straightnose pipefish), 1783 nucleotides long. RefSeq lists it as uncharacterized. NCBI's taxonomy places the organism in Eukaryota, Metazoa, Chordata, Actinopteri, Syngnathiformes, Syngnathidae. The record is from RefSeq and is a predicted model, not a curated record. The transcript is spliced from 5 exons.